RNAcentral lists this ribosomal RNA (333 nucleotides) under Triticum aestivum (bread wheat). Its description in RNAcentral is "partial small subunit ribosomal RNA". Lineage: Eukaryota; Viridiplantae; Streptophyta; Magnoliopsida; Poales; Poaceae. The record is from RNAcentral.
CUUCAUCAUCCGCUCGUGGGAUGUGUCUUCUCCCGCACCAUCUGGCAUGAGGGCCUGGCCUGGUGUCGCAUGACCAUGGAACCCCCGGACGACACGCUCAACUUCUUCGAGUGGUGGAUGACCGCCACACCUAGUGUGCCCACUUGCCUUCGCAAAGGUCUUUAUACCAUGAUCAUCCUCACAGCUUGGGCCAUUUGGAAGCACCAAAACGCGGCACUCUUCGACGCUGCCACCCCAUCCUCAACCAAACUUAUCAACGACAUCAAGCAGGAAGCUACACUAUGGGCUAGAGCCGGCGCCAAAGGGCUCGAAAGAACACUCCGUGUAACCUGA